AGUGAACGCUGGCGGUAGGCCUAACACAUGCAAGUCGAACGGCAGCACAGUAAGAGCUUGCUCUUACGGGUGGCGAGUGGCGGACGGGUGAGGAAUACAUCGGAAUCUACUUUUUCGUGGGGGAUAACGUAGGGAAACUUACGCUAAUACCGCAUACGACCUACGGGUGAAAGCAGGGGAUCUUCGGACCUUGCGCGAUUGAAUGAGCCGAUGUCGGAUUAGCUAGUUGGCGGGGUAAAGGCCCACCAAGGCGACGAUGCGUAGCUGGUCUGAGAGGAUGGUCAGCCACACUGGAACUGAGACACGGUCCAGACUCCUAAGGGAGGCAGCAGUGGGGAAUAUUGGACCAUGGGCGGAAGCCUGAUCCAGCCAUACCGGGUGGGUGAAGAAGGCCUUCGGGUUGUAAAGCCCUUUUGUUGGGAAAGAAAAGCAGCAGGUUAAUACCCCGCUGUUCUGACGGUAACCAAAGAAUAAGCACCGGCUAACUUCGUG
Molecule: ribosomal RNA, 492 nt
Filed under: uncultured bacterium
Lineage: Bacteria
Description: partial 16S ribosomal RNA
Rfam family: Bacterial small subunit ribosomal RNA
Source: RNAcentral